CUCUUCUACUCUAUAAUGUAUGCAAGUUAUCAGAAGAGGUGACACAACAUAUUGAAAAAUGCCAUGGACUUUGUCAUCAGAAACAAGGAUCAAAUUUUAAGAAUUACUAGCUGCCUUUUCUCCUUGAUCUUGUUGUCCAAGAUUCAUUUCUGCAACUUGUCAAUGAGAUACUUGGUCCCUUCUUCUAUGUCUAAAGGUGCAUUCAAUUUCAAGAUCAACUGGAAGUAGAUCG
This 232-nucleotide long non-coding RNA is filed under the name Gossypium barbadense (sea-island cotton). Its description in RNAcentral is "long non-coding RNA (GBAR_LNC014125)". The record is from RNAcentral. Lineage: Eukaryota; Viridiplantae; Streptophyta; Magnoliopsida; Malvales; Malvaceae.